GACGAACGCUGGCGGCGUGCUUAACACAUGCAAGUCGAACGGUGAAGCGCCUUCCUUUUUGGUGGGUGUGGAUGAGUGGCGAACGGGUGAGUAACACGUGAGUAACCUGCCCCCUUCUUCUGGAUAACCGCAUGAAAGUGUGGCUAAUGCGGGAUAUUCUGGGUCUGUCGCAUGAUGGGUCUGGGAAAGAUAUUGUUUCGGUGGGGGAUGGGCUCGCGGCCUAUCAGCUUGUUGGUGGGGUGAUGGCCUACCAAGGCGGUGACGGGUAGCCGGCCUGAGAGGGUGGACGGUCACACUGGGACUGAGACACGGCCCAGACUCCUACGGGAGGCAGCAGUGGGGAAUAUUGCACAAUGGGCGCAAGCCUGAUGCAGCGACGCCGCGGGAGGGACGGAGGCCUUCGGGUUGUGAACCUCUUUCGCCAGUGAAGCAGGCCUGCCUCGUUUGUGGGUGGGUUGACGGUAGCUGGAUAAGAAGCGCCGGCUAACUACGUG
This 494-nucleotide ribosomal RNA is filed under the name uncultured bacterium. Its description in RNAcentral is "partial 16S ribosomal RNA". It matches the Rfam family "Bacterial small subunit ribosomal RNA", at positions 28 to 507 of the family's 1533-position model. The record is from RNAcentral.